RNAcentral lists this ribosomal RNA (431 nucleotides) under uncultured bacterium. RNAcentral describes it as "bacterial SSU rRNA". It matches the Rfam family "Bacterial small subunit ribosomal RNA", at positions 30 to 506 of the family's 1533-position model. The record is from RNAcentral.
UGAACGCUGGCUGUAUGGAUAAGGCAUGCAAGUCGAACGGCCCGCAAGGGCAGUGGCAGACGAGGUAGUAACACGUAGGUACGUACUCCCAAGUCCGGCAUAGCUCGUCGAAAGACGGGGUAAUUCCGGAUGGUCCCGUAAGGGUAAAGAUUUAUCGCUUGGGAAGCGGCCUUCGUAGUAUCAGCUAGUUGGUAAGGUAAUGGCUUACCAAGGCUACGACGCUUAGGGGAGCUGAGAGGCUGACCCCCACCGAUGGGACUGAGACACGGCCCAUACUCCUACGGGAGGCCGCAGUCGAGAAUCUUCCGCAAUGGGCGAAAGUCUGACGGAGCGAUACAGCGUGGUGGAUGAAGUGCUUCGGUACGUAAACACCUUUUAUGUGGGACGAAAUUUUUGACGGUACCACAUGAAUAAGGGGCUCCUAACUCUGU